ACUAGACGGGGAGUUAACGGUGCCCUGUGACCCGCAACCCGUUAUAGCGGGGUCGAACAGCUGUCUAGGGGUAGUUUGGUCGAAUAUGUGCAAAAACUUUUGAUGAUGAAAUUAAGGUCUUGUGCAAUUUGUCCCUUCGAACCAUGUCAGGUCCUGACGGAAGCAACAUUAAGAUGGAUCUCAAAUGUGCCAUGAGGAAACUUUGGUGGAGUUGAAACU
RNAcentral lists this signal recognition particle RNA (219 nucleotides) under human gut metagenome. RNAcentral describes it as "Bacterial large signal recognition particle RNA". It matches the Rfam family "Bacterial large signal recognition particle RNA", at positions 6 to 220 of the family's 256-position model. From Rfam's summary of the family: The signal recognition particle (SRP) is a universally conserved ribonucleoprotein involved in the co-translational targeting of proteins to membranes. Archaeal SRP consists of a 7S RNA and homologues of the eukaryotic SRP19 and SRP54 proteins. The record is from RNAcentral.